Molecule: unclassified non-coding RNA, 1063 nt
Filed under: Hevea brasiliensis (rubber tree)
Lineage: Eukaryota; Viridiplantae; Streptophyta; Magnoliopsida; Malpighiales; Euphorbiaceae
Source: RNAcentral
GAUUAUGAUGAUUCUGUUUAUGACUUCCAAGCAGUGGAUACAGAUUCAACCACAUUACUAUCAGGCCAGGGUUUGAACUCAAUGAAGCAUCAAGAAAUGAAUAGCUUCCACACUUCAUCUCCAAGUACCUCUGAGGAUGCAACCAGUUCAGAUGCUUUGAUUACUCCAAGAGAUGUCAUCGACUCUGUUCAGCAGCCUAUUAAAGAUAGUCUAUCUCCACCACCUCCAGGGUCACCUCUUCAACAGCAUUUUGAUUAUUCUACUAACAAUAAUGUGGUGAACCGUUUUGGGAAGGGAAACCGAAGUAGUCGCUCAGAUCAAGAAAAAGUGAUAACAAACAAAACUACCACACGGCAAAAUUCUAUGAAAGAGGCAUCUCUGGCUACUGAGAUAGAGGUCCCAUUCAAUGAGUACUCUAAUACUGGGGUGUCCCAGGAUUCUGGGGAUGCAAACAGAGAGGAUAAUCAAUUGAAAAUCAACAAAGGAGGUGAAUCAUUUUUCGCAAACAUUAUAAAGAAGAGCUUUAAGGAUUUUUCGAGAUCAAAUCAAACUCAUGAGCGUAGUAGAAGUAAUGUUUCUGUGAAUGGCCAUCCAAUACCAGAUCGUUUGGUUAAGAAGGCUGAGAAGUUGGCUGGACCAAUCCAUCCUGGACUGUAUUGGUAUGAUUUUCGAGCUGGAUUUUGGGGUGUCAUAGGUGGGCCUUGUCUUGGCAUAAUUCCUCCUUUUAUCGAAGAAUUCAAUUAUUCAAUGCCAGAAAAUUGUGGUGGUGGGAAUACUGGUGUUUUUGUAAAUGGUAGAGAACUUCACCAAAAAGAUUUGGAUCUGCAAGCUGGCAGAGGACUUCCAACUGAUAGAGCAAGAUCUUACAUCAUUGAGAUCUCUGGAAGAGUCCUGGAUGAGGACACUGGUGAAGAGCUGGAUAGCCUUGGGAAGCUUGCUCCUACAGUCGAGAAGGUAAAGCAUGGAUUUGGCAUGAAAGUUCCAAAAGCAGCUGCAUAAUGAAACUACAGGAGAUGCAAAGUCCUAAUGUGGCUUCUGGCAUGUGGUAAAAUCUUAAGCCUUC